UACAGAGGGUGCAAGCGUUAAUCGGAAUUACUGGGCGUAAAGCGUGCGUAGACGGUUGCGUAAGUCAGAUGUGAAAGCCCCGGGCUCAACCUGGGAAUUGCAUUUGAGACUGCGUAGCUAGGGUGCGGAAGAGGGAAGCGGAAUUUCCGGUGUAGCGGUGAAAUGCGUAGAUAUCGGGAAGAACACCGGUGGCGAAGGCGGCGCUCUGGACCGAGACUGACGCUGAGGCGCGAAAGCGUGGGGAGCAAACAGG
RNAcentral lists this ribosomal RNA (253 nucleotides) under uncultured bacterium. RNAcentral's name for it is "partial 16S ribosomal RNA". It matches the Rfam family "Bacterial small subunit ribosomal RNA", at positions 524 to 776 of the family's 1533-position model. The record is from RNAcentral.